This 27-nucleotide ribosomal RNA is filed under the name Ascochyta rabiei. RNAcentral's name for it is "partial 18S ribosomal RNA". Lineage: Eukaryota; Fungi; Ascomycota; Dothideomycetes; Pleosporales; Didymellaceae. The record is from RNAcentral.
GUAGGUGGGACUGCGGAAGGAUCAUUA